This 207-nucleotide ribosomal RNA is filed under the name uncultured bacterium. RNAcentral's name for it is "partial 16S ribosomal RNA". It matches the Rfam family "Bacterial small subunit ribosomal RNA", at positions 568 to 774 of the family's 1533-position model. The record is from RNAcentral.
CACGCAGGUGGCUUGGCAAGUCGGAUGUGAAAGCCCCGGGCUUAACCUGGGAACUGCAUUCGAUACUGCUGAGCUAGAGUAUGGGAGAGGAAAGCGGAAUUCCCGGUGUAGCGGUGAAAUGCGUAGAUAUCGGGAGGAACAUCAGUGGCGAAGGCGGCUUUCUGGCCCAAUACUGACACUCAUGUGCGAAAGCGUGGGGAGCAAACA